RNAcentral lists this ribosomal RNA (253 nucleotides) under uncultured bacterium. RNAcentral's name for it is "partial 16S ribosomal RNA". It matches the Rfam family "Bacterial small subunit ribosomal RNA", at positions 524 to 776 of the family's 1533-position model. The record is from RNAcentral.
UACAGAGGUCUCAAGCGUUGUUCGGAAUUACUGGGCGUAAAGCGCGUGCAGGUGGUUUUUUAAGUUUCGUGUGAAAUCCCAUGGCUUAACCAUGGAACGGCACGGAAAACUGGAAGGCUUGAGUACGGGAGAAGAGGGCGGAAUUCCCAGUGUAGAGGUGAAAUUCGUAGAUAUUGGGAGGAACACCGGUGGCGCAAGCGGCUCUCUAGACCGAUACUGACGCUCAUACGCGAGAGCGUGGGUAGCAAACAGG